RNAcentral lists this ribosomal RNA (333 nucleotides) under Triticum aestivum (bread wheat). Its description in RNAcentral is "partial small subunit ribosomal RNA". The record is from RNAcentral. Lineage: Eukaryota; Viridiplantae; Streptophyta; Magnoliopsida; Poales; Poaceae.
AUGAAUAUCCUUAGUUGGAACUGCUGAGGGGGUGGGAACUCUUGGACAGUUCGUGAUCUCGUGAGCUUGGUACAGGCUCAUUCCCCUUGUAUAGUCUUUUUAUGUGAAACUAGGCAGUCAAAAGUUAAGAUGAAAAGAAUUCGAUCUCGUUUAGGCUUAAGUGGUUUCGAGGCAGUCGAUAGUACUGGUCUUAGCGGAGGUCUAGCUCUGUAUUGGCACGAGUCUGUGCAUCUCGAUGUAAAAGAUAAGAACGAACGAUACAUUGAUGCUUAUGUGUAUUCUACUGCAGGUGAGUCCCCUUGGAGGCUCAAUUGCGUCUACGGCGAGCCAUGA